This 507-nucleotide ribosomal RNA is filed under the name uncultured bacterium. RNAcentral's name for it is "partial 16S ribosomal RNA". It matches the Rfam family "Bacterial small subunit ribosomal RNA", at positions 30 to 523 of the family's 1533-position model. The record is from RNAcentral.
AUUGAACGCUGGCGGCAUGCCUUACACAUGCAAGUCGAACGGCAGCGGGGAGAAGCUUGCUUUUCCUGCCGGCGAGUGGCGAACGGGUGAGUAAUACAUCGGAACGUGCCCUGUAGUGGGGGAUAACUAGUCGAAAGAUUAGCUAAUACCGCAUACGCCCUGAGGGUGAAAGUGGGGGACCGCAAGGCCUCAUGCUAUAGGAGCGGCCGAUGUCUGAUUAGCUAGUUGGUGGGGUAAAGGCCUACCAAGGCGACGAUCAGUAGCUGGUUUGAGAGGACGAUCAGCCACACUGGGAAUGAGACACGGCCCAGACUCCUACGGGAGGCAGCAGUGGGGAAUUUUGGACAAUGGGCGAAAGCCUGAUCCAGCAAUGCCGCGUGUGUGAAGAAGGCCUUCGGGUUGUAAAGCACUUUUGUCCGGAAAGAAAUGGCUCUGGUUAAUACCUGGGGUCGAUGACGGUACCGGAAGAAUAAGGACCGGCUAACUACGUGCCAGCCGCCGCGGUAA